UUGGGGACACGUAAGGAAAGCGGAAGCCGGGAAUGGAAAGCCCGGUGCAAGCGGGGUACCAGUCACUUUGGCAAAUCCGGGUGGCAAUGGGAAGCCGUGAUGCGGAGCGAAAUAAAGUAGCGAAGUCCGUGAGCCAUGCGUCAAGAAAAGCCGCUAUCGUUUAUACCGUACCCGUACCGUAAACCGACACAGGUGGAUGAGGAGAGAAUCCUAAGGCCGGCGGAAGAAGCAUUGUCAAGGAACUCGGCAAAAUGGCCCCGUAACUUAGGGAUAAGGGGUGCCUGGGAAACCAGGCCGCAGAGAAUAGGCUCAAGCAACUGUUUAGCAAAAACACAGGUCUAUGCGAAACCGAGAGGUGAGGUAUAUGGGCUGACGCCUGCCCGGUGCUGGAAGGUUAAGAGGAGAGGUUAGCGGUAACGCGAAGCUUUGAAUUUAAGCCCUAGUAAACGGCGGCCGUAACAAUAACGGUCCUAAGGUAGCGAAAUUCCUUGUCGGGUAAGUUCCGACCCGCACGAAAGGCGUAAUGAUUUGAGCGCUGUCUCGACAAUGCAUCCGGUGAAAUUGAAGUACCAGUGAAGAUGCUGGUUACCUGCGCCAGGACGGAAAGACCCCAUGGAGCUUUACUCCAGUCUGGUACUGGGACUCGGUAUUGCAUGUACAGGAUAGGUGGGAGGCUAGGAGAUGGUAACGCCAGUUGCCAUGGAGCCGCUGUUGGGAUACCACCCUUGCAGUAUUGGGUUUCUAACCAGCCGCCGUGACCCGGCGGUGGGACAAUGCCAGACGGGGAGUUUGACUGGGGCGGUCGCCUCCGAUAGGGUAUCGGAGGCGCCCAAAGGUUCCCUCAGAAUGGACGGAAACCAUUCGAAGAGUGCAAAGGCAGAAGGGAGCUUGACUGCGACACCGACGGGUGGAGCAGGUACGAAAGUAGGGCUUAGUGAUCCGGUGGUAUUAAGUGGGAAUGCCAUCGCUCAACGGAUAAAAGCUACCCUGGGAUAACAGGCUUAUCACUCCCAAGAGUUCACAUCGACGGAGUGGUUUGGCACCUCGAUGUCGGCUCAUCGCAUCCUGGGGCUGUAGUAGGUCCCAAGGGUUGGGCUGUUCGCCCAUUAAAGCGGUACGCGAGCUGGGUUCAGAACGUCGUGAGACAGUUCGGUCCCUAUCCGGCGUGGGCGUAGGAUAUCUGAGAGGAGCUGUCCUUAGUACGAGAGGACCGGGAUGGACGGGCCGCUGGUGCAUCGGUUAGACUGCCAAGUCUACGGCCGAGUAGCCAAGCCCGGAAGGGAUAAACGCUGAAGGCAUCUAAGCGUGAAGCCCCCCUUAAGAUGAGAUAUCCCAUUCGAAAGAAGUAAACCCCCUUGAAGACGACGAGGUAGAUAGGGCAGAGGUGGAAGUGCAGUAAUGCAUGGAGCUGACUGUUACUAAUCGGGUGAGGGCUUGACC
This 1440-nucleotide ribosomal RNA is filed under the name metagenome. RNAcentral's name for it is "bacterial LSU rRNA". It matches the Rfam family "Bacterial large subunit ribosomal RNA", at positions 1466 to 2925 of the family's 2925-position model. The record is from RNAcentral.